RNAcentral lists this microRNA precursor (195 nucleotides) under Oryza sativa Indica Group (long-grained rice). Its description in RNAcentral is "MIR812 microRNA precursor family". It matches the Rfam family "MIR812 microRNA precursor family". The record is from Rfam by way of RNAcentral. Lineage: Eukaryota; Viridiplantae; Streptophyta; Magnoliopsida; Poales; Poaceae.
AAUAGAUGACGCCGUUGACUUUUUCUCAUAUGUUUGGCCAUUCGUCUUAUUCAAAAACUUUACGUAAUUAUAAUUUAUUUUGUUAUGAGUUGUUUUAUCACUCAUAGUACUUUAAUUAUGAUUUAUAUCUUAUACAUUUGUAUAAAAUUUUUAAAUAAGACGAAUGGUCAAAGAAAGUCAACGGCUUCCUAUAUU